This 2022-nucleotide ribosomal RNA is filed under the name Triticum aestivum (bread wheat). RNAcentral describes it as "partial small subunit ribosomal RNA". The record is from RNAcentral. Lineage: Eukaryota; Viridiplantae; Streptophyta; Magnoliopsida; Poales; Poaceae.
AUGUUGCGUGUAUCCGACCCGUUGAGUCAACUGAACUCACAUGAACCCGAUCGUGUUCAAACUGAUCUGCUCUUCCCGAGCAGAGCCAUUACAAUGUCGCCUUGGGCCUUGCUCUUUCUGCUGGCCGCCCACCUUGCGGCCGGCGAGCCCGCCUCCAUCACGACGCUCACCGCCACUCCGGCGAAGCUGACAAAACCAGACCACGCAGUCACCCUCCAAUGGUCCAACCUCCCCGACCCGAGCCCGCUCGACUACGUGGCCGUCUACUCCCCGCCGUCCUCCGGCGACCUCGACUACCUCGGCUUCCUCCUCCUCAACUCCUCCGCCUCCUGGGCCACGGGCGCCGGCAGCCUCACGCUCCCGCGCCUGCCCGACCUGCGCGCCCCCUACCAGUUCCGCCUCUUCCGGGGCCAGAACCCGCGCGUUGACCAGGAUGCCGACCCGCUCCCCGACGCCAGCCGCCGCGCCGCCGUCUCGGGCAACGUGGCCUACGAGGGAUCCGGCGCCCGGCCCGCCCAGCUGCACCUGGCGUUCACCGACGAAGUGGACGAGAUGCGGGUGCUGUUCGUGUGCGGCGACGGCGGGGAGAGGUCGGUGAGGUACGGGCCCGCCGGCCGGCGCGAGGAGGAGUGGGAGGAGGUGCCGGCGGAGGCGAGCACGUACGAGCGGCGCCACAUGUGCGGCUACCCGGCGAACCAUAGCGUCGGGUGGCGCCACCCCGGGUUCGUCUUCGACGGCGUCAUGAAGGGGCUGCAGCCUGGGUCAAGGUACUUCUACAAGGUUGGCAAUGAUCUAGGAGGUUGGAGUGAGACAUACAGCUUCAUCUCACGCGACACCGAGGCCAACGAGACCAUCGCAUUCCUCUUUGGUGAUCUGGGCACUUACGUUCCUUACAACACCUACUUUCGAACACCUCAAGAAAGUUUGUCAACUGUGAAAUGGAUUCUCCGUGAUCUCCAGGCCCUUAACGACAAACCUGCAGUCAUUUCACAUAUCGGUGACAUCAGCUACCCUAAGGGCUAUUCGUGGUUAUGGGAUCAUUUCUUCGAACAGAUUGAGCCUAUUGCUGCCAAUACACCAUACCAUGUCUGCAUUGGGAAUCAUGAGUACGACUGGCCUUCCCAACCUUGGAAACCCUCCUGGGCUGCAAACAUAUAUGGUGGGAAUGAUGCUGGCGGCGAAUGCGGAGUACCAUACAGCACCAAGUUCAAAAUGCCUGGAAAUUCUUCUCUCCCUACCAGCACCAUUGCUCCUGACACCCGGAAUCUCUACUACUCCUUUGACGCAGGUGUUGUUCAUUUUGUUUACAUGUCUACUGAGACUGACUUCACUCAUGGCAGUGAUCAAUACAACUAUAUAAAAGCCGACCUCGAGCGCCUCAACCGGAGUCGAACACCAUUUGUCGUGUUCCAGGGCCACCGUCCGAUGUACACCUCAAGCAACGAGUCCAAGGACACGGCUCACAGGGAGCAGAUGAUUCAGCAUCUGGAGCCUCUCUUUGUGAAACACGGCGUGACACUCGCUCUGUGGGGGCAUGUUCACUGGUAUGAGAGGUUUUGCCCCAUGAAGAACUAUCAGUGCCUUAACACUUCGUCGAGCUUCGUGUACCCUGGUGCUCCUGCGCAUGUUGUGAUCGGGAUGGCUGGGCAGGACUACCAAGCAAGCUGGGAACCGAGACCUGACCACCCUGAAGUCCCCAUAUUCCCUCAGCCGCAGAGGUCCAUGUACCGUGGUGCUGAAUUCGGGUACGCAAAACUUGUGGCCACAAGGGAGAAGUUGACACUGACAUACAUUGGUAACCAUGAUGGGCAAGUCCAUGACAUGGUUGAAAUAUUUUCGCCGCAAGUCGAUACCGACAGCGCACCUGAUAAGCUGGUCGGUGCGAUGCCGAAGAAGAUGAGAUACCUGGGAAUUGCCGGCAGCGUGAUGCUUGCGAUGCUGCUCGGAUUCAUGGCUGGCUUUGCUGUUAGAAGGAAGACGGACCCGGCACGAUGGAGUCCUGUACAAGAUGAGGAAUCCUAA